Molecule: ribosomal RNA, 497 nt
Filed under: uncultured bacterium
Lineage: Bacteria
Description: partial 16S ribosomal RNA
Rfam family: Bacterial small subunit ribosomal RNA
Source: RNAcentral
GACGAACGCUGGCGGCGUACCUAAUACAUGCAAGUAGAACGCUGAAGAGAGGAGCUUGCUCUUCUUGGAUGAGUUGCGAACGGGUGAGUAACGCGUAGGUAACCUGCCUUGUAGCGGGGGAUAACUAUUGGAAACGAUAGCUAAUACCGCAUAACAAUGGAUGACACAUGUCAUUUAUUUGAAAGGGGCAAUUGCUCCACUACAAGAUGGACCUGCGUUGUAUUAGCUAGUAGGUGAGGUAAUGGCUCACCUAGUCGACGAUACAUAGCCGACCUGAGAGGGUGAUCGGCCACACUGGGACUGAGACAAGGCCCAGACUCCUACGGGAGGCAGCAGUAGGGAAUCUUCGGCAAUGGGGGCAAACCUGACCGAGCAACGCCGCGUGAGUGAAGAAGGUUUUCGGAUCGUAAAGAUCUGUUGUAAGUCAAGAAAGGGUGUGAGAGUGGAAAGUUCACACUGUGACGGUAGCUUACCAGAAAGGGACGGCUAACUACGUG